Molecule: long non-coding RNA, 487 nt
Organism: Sebastes umbrosus (honeycomb rockfish)
Lineage: Eukaryota; Metazoa; Chordata; Actinopteri; Perciformes; Sebastidae
Exons: 3
Source: RefSeq, a predicted model, not a curated record
UUCGCGAUAAAAAAUGCCCCUGUGGACAAGUACCAUUACAAAGACCACUUAUGGUGGGCGUAUGGGAAGAUGCCCAAGUCCAAGCAGGAGGUCGGUGUUCGAGACUGGUGUUUUGUUUUGGCCAUGGGAGGUCUGUUUACUGGAGAGGAGCCGGCUGAAUCAGACUUAAUGAGCUGAAGGUCUUCAUGGAGUCUGUUGCUUACUAUGUCAACAGUGUGUUGGUGAGAGGAAUGGAAAAGGCGACCCCAGCAGGGCCUAAAUGAUUCCUCGAGUGAUUUGUUGUGAUUGUAAAAGUGAAAAUGUUCUGUUGUCACAUUACAAUAGUUCAGGUUAGUUAGUUCAGAUAUAUCUGCCUCACAAGGUGUGUUUAGAUGUGUUUACCUUCCACUGCUGUCCUGGUUAGGGGCCACCAGCAGAUUAUAGGGGAAGUGAACACCAUUUGUGCUUCAGGCUGUCGCACCAGUUCUGCUUCCUGCACAUAGCAAAU